Molecule: long non-coding RNA, 412 nt
Filed under: Gallus gallus (chicken)
Lineage: Eukaryota; Metazoa; Chordata; Aves; Galliformes; Phasianidae
Source: RNAcentral
AAGCCAUGUGGCAUCGGCCACGCUCAGGUGCUCGGAGGAAGGGAGCUCUAGGAAGCCCUCUUCAUCCACAAUGAUGGUGUAGUCCUCGGGGGUUUCCGUGAGGCUGAAGAACUUGCACCUCGUCUUGGAGGACAGGAAAGCAAGUUUGAUUAAUCCAUAGGUAAACAACUGGAUGCUCUCCUUGGCUAUGCUGGCCACUCUGAGCCUGUGCUCUAGGAUGUGCAGUUCCAUCUUUUCCUCUUUCUCAUUUGUAGUUCAUCUAUCCCCGGGGUUUAUUUUGUGUUUUUGAAUGGGGAGGGGGAGGGGGGGCUGUUAUUGUCGCUGCCUCGGUGGUGGUGGUGGUGGUGGUUGUGUUGGUUGUUUUUUUUUUCUUCUUCCCCCCCCCCUUCCUUUUUUUUCUUUUUUUUUUUUU